Chelonia mydas (Green sea turtle) is the source of this 2299-nucleotide long non-coding RNA. RefSeq lists it as uncharacterized. The transcript has 5 exons. The record is from RefSeq and is a predicted model, not a curated record. Lineage: Eukaryota; Metazoa; Chordata; Testudines; Cheloniidae.
AAAGUUUUACCUGCGUACUGUGGCUUUUUAGGUAGUAUGUAGUCACCUAGAUAAUACUUAGUCCUGCCUUGAGUGCAGGGGACUGGACUAGAUGACCUCUCGAGGUCCCUUCCAGUUCUGAUUCUUUGUACAUGUCCUAGACAGUCUCAUUGAACUUCUGUGCAUAUUUUGCAUGUAUAAGGAUUGCAGGAUGGGUUGAGGCUUAUAUGACCAAGGCAACGUCAUUCAUUUUUUUCAUUACAAACAUAACACAAUAAAAAACUCUUCUUAGACUUUAUGGUCCAAUGCAGUAUAAAUUUUAAGUAUGUAAGUAAUCCCAUUCAGCUCAGUGAGUCUACUCAUGCUUAAAGUUAUACACAUACUUAAUUGCUUUGUUGGAUCAGGGACUUAAUGGCUAGAUUUUUUCAGCCUUUUGUGUAUUGACAUGGUUUAUCUGAUAAUUCUGAAUUCUUCAAAAAGUAAUUUUAAGUAUUUGUAAGAUGUUUGGCCUGACUUAUUAUUUACUACCUUACACACAUUAAUUUAUUACAUAUAAAAUCCUAUUCAGAGCAGACUGUAGUAGGCACUCUUAAGACAGCUAUGAAUAGAAGACUUCUGCCCUGAAGAGCUUACAAUCCAAGCCACUGAUUCUGCACUGUGAUCCCUGGGGUCAGACUGCUGCCUGUGUAUGAGGAAGUCCUAUUGAUUUCAGCAGGGCUUUGUGCAGAUUCAGCAGUCCUCCCAUGCUGAUUACAGUGUAAGACUGGGAUCAAAAUAGACAAAUGAGGAAAAGAUGUAAUGGAUAUCAAUGCUAUUUAAUGACAAUGGUAAGCACACAGCUUAGUAAUACUUGAUUUAUGUUUGUGCACAUCUUUUUUCAGUAACCUGAAGAGAUGGCUGACUAGGGUUUAUAGCCCUCCAUGAAGAACUACAUUUGAAGGACUGAAUGGUUCAGAGGCUAGUAGUGGGACAAAGUUUUUUGCUUUGUCAUCAAUGGUCUUGCACCAUUCCUGGCAGACAGUUGUCCAUAUUAAUGAUAGGUAAACUUUGAAAAGAGACAUUGCUGAAAAUAAAUGCUACUCUAAAAAUGGGUAUGAAGUUACACAGUAACACAGAGGGACAGAUUUUUAAAGGUACUUAGGCAUACAACUCCCAUUGAUUUCCAUGGGAGAUAGGUGCCUUGGCAUUUUGAAAAUCCUAUCAGCAUCUGAAGGCCUACAUACCUUUAAAAAAUCUGGCCCUGAGCCUAUGUCUAAGAAAACUUAGGUAUAGAGUCACUAUAUACCAAUGAGCACCUUAGUAGGCAACCCUCUGUAUCAAGCAACCACUUUAAGGUAUCUGUAAAACUUCAGUAUGAUUUUUGAUCAAUCUUUAGUUAGAGAAUCGCUCAUUUAAGCAACUGACAGCUGUUGGUCUCUUAAGUGGUCAUUUAAGAACGAUUACACUGCAUGCUUAAAGGACCAGAAAUCUAUUGUUGUGUUCUGAGUGGUAAAGGAUUUCACAGAAAUGUUUAGGCAGUUUGAUUUUAGAUCUUAGCAUUAAGCAGUUGUAAAAAUUAAGAGGCUACAUCUGUUGUUGAAUCUGUCACAGAUGCAAGAGCUGACACUACAAAGGAUAGAAGUGUUGGAAUGGGUCAAGCAAUCUUCGCUCACCAAGAGGUAAGGCUUUCUUCUACCUGUGUGGAACAGUCGUCAUGAGCUGGACUGGAAAAGCCACUAUCUGUUAUGUCCUGCUGCUACUGAUAUACUACGAUUACAAUAAGUGUGUAGUUCUCAGAAUCUGGCAAGCUGCUUCCAUGUCUUCUAGCUGGCAAGCCCUAAAAAUCUUUUCCCCCAAAUGGGUACAUCCGGGAAUGGACAGGAGUAUGAGAAGUGACAUGACACCAAUGCAAUUUUGUUUCCUGAGCAGCUGUCACCUGACUUAAUACCCUUUUUAGAUCUAUGAAAACCACAUGCAGUGGUUGGUGGUGUUCCGGUGUCUUUUUCUGGAGCUCUUGGACACUGGACAAGAUGUCAGUGGUACUAUUUCCUGCCCCAAAACCACAAUGGCUCUUGAGUAAAACAAACUGAUUCUGUGUUGCUAUUUCUGAUAAGUUCAUUGCAAGGUUCUAACCUUCAUGGCUGCAGAAAACUGCCUGAAAACACAAACUGAGUACACCCUAAAGGCUCUGAAGACAAAUAAAAAUACCUCAACAUUGAUUAUUUUUUAAAUCUCGUGAUUUCCACUUAUGAUCUUAUAGGGCUUGAGUCAUGAUUUUUGAAUGCUUGGAGAUGGCAAUACUGACCAUCAUCUGCUUGGAUCUCAAGCAAUCUGUGUGCUU